Long non-coding RNA from Pipistrellus kuhlii (Kuhl's pipistrelle), 1760 nucleotides. RefSeq lists it as uncharacterized. Lineage: Eukaryota; Metazoa; Chordata; Mammalia; Chiroptera; Vespertilionidae. The transcript is spliced from 3 exons. The record is from RefSeq and is a predicted model, not a curated record.
UUAAUUGAGAAAAACAAAUGGUAUUAUGGACAUGGACAAUUGCAAUUUAAUGGAACAACUGUUUUGACCAUUCCAAUCCUGAAGCAGAACAUAAAAUCUUUGGUCUUCCCUUUCUCUUCAGAGUAGUGAGGAGGUUUUUAAAGGAAACCAACCCAAAUGGAUUCCUCUGAAAACCCAUGAAACUAGUAGUUACUGUUAAUUGCAGAAGCUGGUUGUGUGAAGGAACGAAGGAGCCCUUAUGUUAGAUUUUCUUUGAUAUAUAGGUUUAUUUAUUGAGCAAACUUUAAAUUUUAUUGUCCUUUAGGUAAUUUUAGUGAACCCUGAAAAAGGUAUUUUUGGUUCUUGUCAGUGUACUUACUAGAAUAAAAAAGGAAAGGCUUCCUUAGGAAAAAGCACGAUAUUAAGAUUAAGAACACAGAUUUUAAUGUUAGAUACCCUAAUAAUGAGUGAUAUACCUUUUUUCUCUGACCUUUCCGAAUACUGGCAGAUUAUCUUUUCUAUUCAAAAUGCCAAUGUUUCAUUGUUUAUCAAGUUUUUUUCUUGUCCUAUUGUAAUAGUGUUCUUCAUAGCUAUACUUUGAAUCAGGUUAUAGUCUAUACCUGUCUAUAUAAUGUCUUUAAAAUAUUUUAUCACUCACCAUUUAUUACAAUUAAUUUCUUAUUUGAAAAUUGAACUAUAAAAAGGGACCAUGGAGUUAUUUACUUACCAGUAAAUAAAUCAAAACCUGGUUUAUGUUCCAUUGAAGCAAAUUUGGGACAACUAUAUAAAAAGAUUUUCCUUGCUUUUGACUUUCUGAGCAAAAUCAUUUAUAUUUAAGAAAAUUGCAUUGGAUACUUAUCAUUAUAAUUUGCUACUUACUAUAUUCUGUCGGCUAGAUUUUUAUGUGCACUUUUCACAGGGUAUUUCUGAAAUACAUUACUGUAAGGAAACAAGAAUGCAUGCAUAUCUAUGGUAUUAAGACUCUCAUUAAGGAGAAAGAUCAUGGUUCUUUAAAAUUGUUUAAUGAUUAUGUCAUUACUUUUGGCUCCAUUAUAAGCAUUUUGGAUAUAAGCCACUUCUACAUCUCUUUAGGCCUUUUCACCCCUCUCAUUCAACAAAAAUUGUUUAGUCUUUCCUACAUAAAUUGUUCUGUACAUUUUCUGCAUAAUAUACAAAUCAAUUAAAUGAUCCUAAUAUAGAGAAAGAAUAGAAUAAUAGCUUUUUUUUCUGUAUAGUUUUAUAAAGCUAAACACCAAGACUUGUUUGACUCAAUAUUACCCUAUUAAGUAUUACUAGACUAAGACCUGGUAAUUUUAAAAUCCAGUGCCUUGGUGGAAUUAAUGAUUCAUCACUCUAGAUUUAAGUUCCUUUGUAUAGCCAGAUUAUUUGUUAUAAUUGAGAUACAACUUAAAUACAGCAAUAUACAUAAAUCUUAAAUGUACAGCUUAAUGAAUUUUGACUUGUGUAUAUACUUGUGUGCUUGUCACUCAUAGAAAGUGUGUAGAACAUUUUCAGUACCCCAGAAGGUACCCUGUGUUCUCUUGUAGUCAAUAAUGACUUCCCUGUCCACCCCCAAAAGGGCAAUCACAAUUCUGAUUUCUAGCAACAUGGAUUAGUUUUAGCUGCUUUUGUUUAUCAUAUAGAUGGAAUCAUGUGUUAUUUCAUGUCUUGCUUCUUUCACUCAACAUUGUAUAGUUUAUCCAUAUUGUUGUCUGUACUAGUGACACUUUUUUUCAUUGCUGUGUAGUGUUCCAUAGUAUGAAUAUACUACGGAUUGUUGU